RNAcentral lists this ribosomal RNA (504 nucleotides) under Tamoya ohboya. Its description in RNAcentral is "partial 16S ribosomal RNA". It matches the Rfam family "Bacterial large subunit ribosomal RNA", at positions 1975 to 2614 of the family's 2925-position model. The record is from RNAcentral. Lineage: Eukaryota; Metazoa; Cnidaria; Cubozoa; Carybdeida; Tamoyidae.
CUUAAUUGGUGACUAGAAUGAAAGGCUAAACGAGCAUUCCUCUGUCUUAAAUUUAAACUUAGUGAAAUUAAACUAUCCGUUAAGAUUCGGAUAUUUCUUGAUUAGACGAGAAGACCCCGUUGAGCUUUACCUAAGCUUUUUAUUUAAAUGGUUCUCCUUGAUAAGAAAACGAUUUAACUUAGAAGAGCGACAGGUUUGGUUGGGGCGACCGCCCAAAUAAAAGAAACUUGGGUAAACAAGGGUUAAACUUAUAAUAGAUACAGCUUUAUUGAUAGACAGACAUGUUAAUUAAAAAGGAUUUCUCCUUUGCUAUAGCGACCCGUUACUAAUUGGUAGCGAAUCUGAAUAAAAGUUACCACGGGGAUAACAGGGUUAUCCAAUUCUAGAGUUCUUAUCGAAGAUUGGGUUUGCCACCUCGAUGUUGAAUAGCAGUAUCCUAGGGGUGCAGAAGCUCCUAAGGGUUGGUCUGUUCGACCAUUAAAACCUUACAUGAUUUGAGUUCAU